Small nucleolar RNA from Gorilla gorilla gorilla (western lowland gorilla), 122 nucleotides. NCBI's taxonomy places the organism in Eukaryota, Metazoa, Chordata, Mammalia, Primates, Hominidae. The record is from Ensembl.
CACCAAAGUAGCCAUAAACAAUACAUAUUUCUGUUAAUUAAACUUUGGGACAUUAAAAUGGGCUAAGAGAGAUGAUUGGGUAGAAAGUAUUAUUCUAUUCAUUUGCCUCCCAGCCUACAAAA